Molecule: long non-coding RNA, 2658 nt
Organism: Musa acuminata AAA Group (dessert banana)
Lineage: Eukaryota; Viridiplantae; Streptophyta; Magnoliopsida; Zingiberales; Musaceae
Exons: 3
Source: RefSeq, a predicted model, not a curated record
UAUACAUAUAUAUAAAUUCCUAGGAAAAGCUCCUAAGCUUGAUAAUUUUUCAGAUAGUGCCCUAAGUUUGAAAUGUUCCUGUAGAGCUCUCCUGAUCGUGUGAAAUGAUCAUUUUAACCCAAAUAAAUUUAAAAAAAUUAUUUUUUUUCGGGGAUCCAUCGUCGCCUCCGCUUGCAUGCAACCCUCUCUAUGCCACCUGCAACCCCUUGCAAAAAGGCCCAUCGUUGCUACCUGCAGCCCUCACACGAGGGAGCAUUGUCAUCACUCGUAACCCUGUCCGCCCGCUCCCGCCCUACGGUUGGCCGCCUCCCUCUACUUGCAACCCUUGCAUGAGAGCCCACCAUUGCCACUUGCAGCCCUCGUGCAAGGGCCUGCUGCUGCCGCCUACAACUGUGGUCACCCCACUUGGCCCACAGCCCUCAUGGGAGGGCUUGCCGCUAUCGCUUGCAGCCCUCGAGCGAGGUUUGUUGCUGCACCUUGGUCAUUAGUUGCAAAGGGACUGCACAGCCUCCUCGCACCCCUUCCUCGUCAGCAUGGUCUCCUAGGUGUCCUCGACAUUGGCUGCAGCCUCCAUUGUUGGCCACGGAGGUUGCACCUUCAUCGCGGGUCCUGCGAAGGGGGGGUGGCUGGUGCGGUGGAGGGGUCAAUCGGUAGGGCGAGGGCAUGACUAGGGGCUAGGUGGAGGUUGGUGGCUGAUGGGAGUGGAAUGUUCAUUUUCACAAAAAGAGGUACUUUGUGAGAAUUUUUCAUACUUGGGGUGUUAUCUAGAAAAUUCUCGAACUUAGGAUUUUUUUUGAAAAUUUACCUCAUAUAUGUGUGUGAGAACCAGUUUUGCAAUCUAUAUUUGAUGAGACUAAUUACAUUAUUCUCUUGGUUUGAUUUAAUUCUACGAUUCAUUUUGGAUGUGGUAGUUGUUUGUGAGCUAAAACUUUAUGGGUACAGUGCACCUUUUUUUUUUUUUUUGCUUCUGCUGCAAUAACCUAUAAUUCUACAACUAAACCAUGAGAGAUACACUGAGUAUGCAGGUCCAUCUGCUGAAAUGAUUUGGACUGCCAUGUACCAGGAUUAUUUUCCACAAAUCUAGUUAUAUGUUUUUCCUUUUAUUUCUGAUUUCUUGUCCAGACAUUUUGUUCAGUUAUUUUUGCAUUAAAUGCUGAAAUAAUUGGAGAUGGUAUGUUUGAUAUUAGUUACUGGUAAUUCUUUUGUGUUAUUGUUUUCCACAUGCUCAACAUUGCUAGUUGCUCAGUUUAGGUGAUUCAACAAUGAGUUUACGAAGAAGCUUACAUUAAUUAAAUUGUUCUUUGGACAUAUCAUGUGAAUGUAUAUAAUUUCUUUUCAAAUCAAUUUAAGACUUGAUUUAGUGAUUUUAUACUACAAUCUAUGUUUUCGUUAUGUAACAUUGUUGGUCAAUUAGUAAAUUCUAGGUGAUAAAUUUUAUUUUGCAUUUGCUUUCAUAUCUCUAGCUCUCAUCAUCUUAAUUCCUUCUGAAGAACUGUGUUACAAGAAGAGAUUGGUAAAAGAUUGAUCUCUGGGUUUCCAGUCCGCAUAGCUUCUGCAUAUCUCCUUGAAGCAAAUACAGAUUUGGUAUCUUCCUACACACUCUAUUUGAGAUUUCAGUCCACAUUAGCUAUUGGAAAAUGAUUUUUGAAUUUUUUUCAGUCAUUAAUCUCUAAUAUUCUUCUAAUGAGACAAGUGGGGUGGGGAAAUGUUUUGAUUUGUUUUGUGUGCGAGUGUAAUUUAUCCUAAUUCUAGAGUGAUAUUCCCAUCAAAUACUUCCAUAUGCAUGAAGAUAAUUCUUAUUUGAUAAUGUUUGUAUGUUUCUAUCCUUUAGCUUUUGUAUCAAGUUAUGGUCAUACAAUUUCAGGUUACAGCAAGAAAUCCAUGCCUGGUGCUUUUCAGACAUGUAUUAUGGUUCAUCAUCAUAAGUCUGAAUGUACUGGAUCAAUCAGCAGAGUUAAUGGACAACCUUCAGAGGUUUCAUGGAAACAAGGACUUCAUUGGGGAACUUCUUUCUUUCCUUUCUCGGCCUUAACCUCGGUCAAAUGCAAUCAGAUUAUGCAAGGUAGAAAUGGCUGCGACGGUAAGAGGCUUUGGUCACUACAAAAUUUUGGGAAAUCAAAUGUAUGCAGCUGUCUCUCCCUGUGCAGUAAGAUUUUUUUCCAAUUAUUGAAGUCCUUGGUGCUUAUUUGCUACCUCCACCUUUCUGCACAACAAAAAUGGUCUACAGAUUGGAGGAACGUCAUUGUGGACCUUCUAUAUUGGUUUGAAUUCAGUUUCUCCUUAAGGACAAAUGGAAGUUAUCUUGACGAAUUACAUUUUCAGUAUUCUGGAAUGAUGCAGAUUGUUUGGAACAUGCCAAAUACAACAUUAGCAAUGAUGUGAAGUAUCUAAAAACUUAAAAACAUUUGUGAGGCGGUUGCUCUACAAUCCUAGACUUCUAUCUGCAUGUCCCACAGCUUUUGUUGAAGCAAAGCUCUGUCAAGUUGAACAAGAGCGUGAGCUGAAGUAACAGAUUCAAAAACAGCCCUGAAACUUUAUGUUCACAUUGUGAACUUGAUUGUUUUAUUUAAUUGUGUGGAUGUGCUUGUUAAAUUUAUGAAAUUUGUUUGCAUGUUGUAGUGUAGUGAUGGCGUAUGUAGGAUGUGAGAAAUGUCGACC